Long non-coding RNA from Pipra filicauda (Wire-tailed manakin), 445 nucleotides. RefSeq lists it as uncharacterized. Lineage: Eukaryota; Metazoa; Chordata; Aves; Passeriformes; Pipridae. The transcript has 3 exons. The record is from RefSeq and is a predicted model, not a curated record.
CCAGGGAAUGAACAGUGAGUCCUUUGCUUGAGUGCUGGUAGAGGCAGCUGCAGUUUCUGGUUUCAUCAGCAGACACAGAAUGAGGAGACUGGAAUGUUUUUGGAAGCUCACACCUCUAGCCUUUGCUAAUUAUGUCCUUUAAAGAUAUAGGAGGAUUUGAGGUGUUUCUUACAUGCAACACUGAAGCCCUGAGCACUCCUGAUGUCCCAUCAAACCUGUGCACCAGCAGCACCAGGAAUACUGGCGUUUUCCCAAGGAGGAGCUGCAUCCUAAACGACCUUGAGAAGACACAGCAAUUACUACCACACAUGCAAGAUAAAUUAUCACCAAAGCCAAGGCUUGAUUUCCUGAGAUAGAGCAGCCAGUCUGGAGCAUUUAGAACUGGGAUGAGCUCUAAGAUAAGAUGUUGGAGUCAAUAAGAUAAAUGUGUAAAUAAAAAGGUUCA